Molecule: non-coding RNA, 48 nt
Filed under: Hyphomicrobiales bacterium
Lineage: Bacteria; Pseudomonadati; Pseudomonadota; Alphaproteobacteria; Hyphomicrobiales
Description: Rhizobiales bacterium Guanidine-II sequence
Rfam family: Guanidine-II riboswitch aptamer (mini-ykkC)
About the family: Simpler in structure and has fewer highly conserved nucleotide positions than the ykkC-yxkD leader. Despite this each of its two stem-loop structures directly bind free guanidine.
Source: RNAcentral
GCGGAAGGACGACCUUUUCGCUUCCCUGUAUGGCGCGGGACGGCCCGC